RNAcentral lists this small nucleolar RNA (147 nucleotides) under Laticauda laticaudata (blue-ringed sea krait). Its description in RNAcentral is "Small nucleolar RNA SNORA79 (ENSLLTG00000018246.1)". It matches the Rfam family "Small nucleolar RNA SNORA79". Rfam says of the family: ACA65 (SNORA79) is a member of the H/ACA class of snoRNAs that guide the sites of modification of uridines to pseudouridines. This snoRNA was identified by computational screening and its expression in mouse experimentally verified by Northern blot and primer extension analysis. Lineage: Eukaryota; Metazoa; Chordata; Lepidosauria; Squamata; Elapidae. The record is from Rfam by way of RNAcentral.
UGAUGACUGUUCCUCUCACUGCUACAAGCCUCAAACAGUGGGAUUUUAUGUCAUCAAAUACUAACAUGACCUUUCUUCACUCAAAAGUGUCUUUAGAUGGGUUGGCCAUCUGUGUGACACAGUUGAAUUUUGCAGGGUCGCACAUUC